AUAUAACUUUCAACAACGGAUCUCUUGGCUCUCGCAUCGAUGAAGAACGCAGCGAAAUGCGAUAAGUAAUGUGAAUUGCAGAAUUCAGUGAAUCAUCGAAUCUUU
RNAcentral lists this ribosomal RNA (105 nucleotides) under Tricholoma equestre. Its description in RNAcentral is "5.8S ribosomal RNA". It matches the Rfam family "5.8S ribosomal RNA", at positions 1 to 101 of the family's 154-position model. From Rfam's summary of the family: 5.8S ribosomal RNA (5.8S rRNA) is a component of the large subunit of the eukaryotic ribosome. The record is from RNAcentral. Lineage: Eukaryota; Fungi; Basidiomycota; Agaricomycetes; Agaricales; Tricholomataceae.